RNAcentral lists this ribosomal RNA (2933 nucleotides) under Escherichia coli. RNAcentral describes it as "bacterial LSU rRNA". It matches the Rfam family "Bacterial large subunit ribosomal RNA". The record is from RNAcentral. Lineage: Bacteria; Pseudomonadati; Pseudomonadota; Gammaproteobacteria; Enterobacterales; Enterobacteriaceae.
GGGUUGUGAGGUUAAGCGACUAAGCGUACACGGUGGAUGCCCUGGCAGUCAGAGGCGAUGAAGGACGUGCUAAUCUGCGAUAAGCGUCGGUAAGGUGAUAUGAACCGUUAUAACCGGCGAUUUCCGAAUGGGGAAACCCAGUGUGAUUCGUCACACUAUCAUUAACUGAAUCCAUAGGUUAAUGAGGCGAACCGGGGGAACUGAAACAUCUAAGUACCCCGAGGAAAAGAAAUCAACCGAGAUUCCCCCAGUAGCGGCGAGCGAACGGGGAGCAGCCCAGAGCCUGAAUCAGUGUGUGUGUUAGUGGAAGCGUCUGGAAAGGCGCGCGAUACAGGGUGACAGCCCCGUACACAAAAAUGCACAUACUGUGAGCUCGAUGAGUAGGGCGGGACACGUGGUAUCCUGUCUGAAUAUGGGGGGACCAUCCUCCAAGGCUAAAUACUCCUGACUGACCGAUAGUGAACCAGUACCGUGAGGGAAAGGCGAAAAGAACCCCGGCGAGGGGAGUGAAAAAGAACCUGAAACCGUGUACGUACAAGCAGUGGGAGCACAGAGCAAUCUGUGUGACUGCGUACCUUUUGUAUAAUGGGUCAGCGACUUAUAUUCUGUAGCAAGGUUAACCGAAUAGGGGAGCCGAAGGGAAACCGAGUCUUAACUGGGCGUUAAGUUGCAGGGUAUAGACCCGAAACCCGGUGAUCUAGCCAUGGGCAGGUUGAAGGUUGGGUAACACUAACUGGAGGACCGAACCGACUAAUGUUGAAAAAUUAGCGGAUGACUUGUGGCUGGGGGUGAAAGGCCAAUCAAACCGGGAGAUAGCUGGUUCUCCCCGAAAGCUAUUUAGGUAGCGCCUCGUGAAUUCAUCUCCGGGGGUAGAGCACUGUUUCGGCAAGGGGGUCAUCCCGACUUACCAACCCGAUGCAAACUGCGAAUACCGGAGAAUGUUAUCACGGGAGACACACGGCGGGUGCUAACGUCCGUCGUGAAGAGGGAAACAACCCAGACCGCCAGCUAAGGUCCCAAAGUCAUGGUUAAGUGGGAAACGAUGUGGGAAGGCCCAGACAGCCAGGAUGUUGGCUUAGAAGCAGCCAUCAUUUAAAGAAAGCGUAAUAGCUCACUGGUCGAGUCGGCCUGCGCGGAAGAUGUAACGGGGCUAAACCAUGCACCGAAGCUGCGGCAGCGACGCUGAUGCGUUGUUGGGUAGGGGAGCGUUCUGUAAGCCUGUGAAGGUGUGCUGUGAGGCAUGCUGGAGGUAUCAGAAGUGCGAAUGCUGACAUAAGUAACGAUAAAGCGGGUGAAAAGCCCGCUCGCCGGAAGACCAAGGGUUCCUGUCCAACGUUAAUCGGGGCAGGGUGAGUCGACCCCUAAGGCGAGGCCGAAAGGCGUAGUCGAUGGGAAACAGGUUAAUAUUCCUGUACUUGGUGUUACUGCGAAGGGGGGACGGAGAAGGCUAUGUUGGCCGGGCGACGGUUGUCCCGGUUUAAGCGUGUAGGCUGGUUUUCCAGGCAAAUCCGGAAAAUCAAGGCUGAGGCGUGAUGACGAGGCACUACGGUGCUGAAGCAACAAAUGCCCUGCUUCCAGGAAAAGCCUCUAAGCAUCAGGUAACAUCAAAUCGUACCCCAAACCGACACAGGUGGUCAGGUAGAGAAUACCAAGGCGCUUGAGAGAACUCGGGUGAAGGAACUAGGCAAAAUGGUGCCGUAACUUCGGGAGAAGGCACGCUGAUAUGUAGGUGAAGUCCCUCGCGGAUGGAGCUGAAAUCAGUCGAAGAUACCAGCUGGCUGCAACUGUUUAUUAAAAACACAGCACUGUGCAAACACGAAAGUGGACGUAUACGGUGUGACGCCUGCCCGGUGCCGGAAGGUUAAUUGAUGGGGUCAGCGCAAGCGAAGCUCUUGAUCGAAGCCCCGGUAAACGGCGGCCGUAACUAUAACGGUCCUAAGGUAGCGAAAUUCCUUGUCGGGUAAGUUCCGACCUGCACGAAUGGCGUAAUGAUGGCCAGGCUGUCUCCACCCGAGACUCAGUGAAAUUGAACUCGCUGUGAAGAUGCAGUGUACCCGCGGCAAGACGGAAAGACCCCGUGAACCUUUACUAUAGCUUGACACUGAACAUUGAGCCUUGAUGUGUAGGAUAGGUGGGAGGCUUUGAAGUGUGGACGCCAGUCUGCAUGGAGCCGACCUUGAAAUACCACCCUUUAAUGUUUGAUGUUCUAACGUUGACCCGUAAUCCGGGUUGCGGACAGUGUCUGGUGGGUAGUUUGACUGGGGCGGUCUCCUCCUAAAGAGUAACGGAGGAGCACGAAGGUUGGCUAAUCCUGGUCGGACAUCAGGAGGUUAGUGCAAUGGCAUAAGCCAGCUUGACUGCGAGCGUGACGGCGCGAGCAGGUGCGAAAGCAGGUCAUAGUGAUCCGGUGGUUCUGAAUGGAAGGGCCAUCGCUCAACGGAUAAAAGGUACUCCGGGGAUAACAGGCUGAUACCGCCCAAGAGUUCAUAUCGACGGCGGUGUUUGGCACCUCGAUGUCGGCUCAUCACAUCCUGGGGCUGAAGUAGGUCCCAAGGGUAUGGCUGUUCGCCAUUUAAAGUGGUACGCGAGCUGGGUUUAGAACGUCGUGAGACAGUUCGGUCCCUAUCUGCCGUGGGCGCUGGAGAACUGAGGGGGGCUGCUCCUAGUACGAGAGGACCGGAGUGGACGCAUCACUGGUGUUCGGGUUGUCAUGCCAAUGGCACUGCCCGGUAGCUAAAUGCGGAAGAGAUAAGUGCUGAAAGCAUCUAAGCACGAAACUUGCCCCGAGAUGAGUUCUCCCUGACUCCUUGAGAGUCCUGAAGGAACGUUGAAGACGACGACGUUGAUAGGCCGGGUGUGUAAGCGCAGCGAUGCGUUGAGCUAACCGGUACUAAUGAACCGUGAGGCUUAACCUUACAACGCCGAAGGUGUUU